RNAcentral lists this long non-coding RNA (5205 nucleotides) under Lactuca sativa (garden lettuce). RNAcentral's name for it is "long non-coding RNA (LSAT_LNC009872)". Lineage: Eukaryota; Viridiplantae; Streptophyta; Magnoliopsida; Asterales; Asteraceae. The record is from RNAcentral.
AUGUGUGUGUUUCUUAAGCAAGAGCCACCUAGUACGUUAGGCAUACAACGGGGGUACGUUGGGCGUACUAGGGAUAGAAGGAAACUCUAAUUAAGUGAAGUGUCCGUAUAAAAAGAAAGAGAUGGUCUCAUUUGUGGCCACCUUCCUUACUUAUUAAACCCUCUCAAACCCUAAUAUCCUUUCUUGAAGCUUGUGGUGGCCAUGAUGAGCUUGUUUGUGUUCAUGUGGACUUUUAAGUGUUAAGAAGGAGCAUGGAAGGGAGUGAUGUUGAAGAGCAGGUUGUGGAUCUGAGCUUUCUUGGGGUCAGAGCACCAUUUGAUUUUAAGGUAUAAAGCUGCACGCUUUCCCUCUCUUUUUGUUUUGUGCAUAUUAGGGUCCAUUUUAGGGUUUUUGGUCCCAAGCUUGAGGCUUUAUGAGUUGAUUCACUCCAGAGCUUAAUAACCUGUCCUUUUAAGUGUUUCUAGUGGUGGAGAACCAUAAAAAUAAGGUCUUGAUCGUGUGAAUCUAUCCAUGCAUGAGUUAUGAGCAUUUUGGGUUAAGAAAGUAAAAGUUUUUAUGUGUUGUGACCUUAUCAGCCAUGCAAAGGCUUAAAGUCGAUAACUUAUUAGAGUAGGAGAUGUUAGGAAGUCUAGAUCCAAGAGAUGAGUUAAGGUCUUAACGGGUUAAGACCCAAAAAUUGAUUUCAGCAAAACUGAGAGUACGCCCAACGUAAUCCUAUUAUGGCCCGCAACUGGGCUGAUGUCCCCGAUUAGAAUUAUGCAUGCUUGAGUACGCUGAGCGUACCAAAGGAGGUACGCCCCGUGUAACCCCUUUGUGGGCUUUUGGGCUAAGUGAUGUUUUGGGCCUAGAGUGUUGGGCCUGGAGUUUGGGCUUCAUGCAUAGAGUCAUGGACCAGCAGAGUGUAUAUAUGUGCCUUAGGGCCCUAGGUUUGGGCUUGCCUUUUUGGUUGGGAAUUGGGUCGUGCGAGAACCCAUUUAUUAUUGGGCUUUGGUGGGCCGAAAGGGCUUAGGGUAUUAAUGGGCUGUUAGGUGGUCUAUCUUUAGAUCCAAUGAGUGAGAGGUUGGACUUGGCUCCAAAUUGAGAUUUAUUAUGGGUUUGGCACAGAGUUAGAGUCUGGUACGUAGCAGCAGUGAUUAAAGGAGUUGUUCUUCACCGGAGGUGAGUCUUCUCACUAUACUUUACCUUUAAAGGUAAUUANAUAAAAAUAAGGUCUUGAUCGUGUGAAUCUACCCAUGCAUGAGUUAUGAGCAUUUUGGGUUAAGAAAGUAAGAGUUUUUAUGUGUUGUGACCUUAUCAGCCAUGCAAAGGCUUAAAGUCGAUAACUUAUUAGAGUAGGAGAUGUUAGGAAGUCUAGAUCCAAGAGAUGAGUUAAGGUCUUAACGGGUUAAGACCCAAAAAUUGAUUUCAGCAAAACUGAGAGUACGCCCAGCGUAAUCCUAUUAUGGCCCGCAACUGGGCUGAUGUCCCCGAUUAGAAUUAUGCAUGCUUGAGUACGCUGAGCGUACCAAAGGAGGUACGCCCCGUGUAACCCCUUUGUGGGCUUUUGGGCUAAGUGAUGUUUUGGGCCUAGAGUGUUGGGCCUGGAGUUUGGGCUUCAUGCAUAGAGUCAUGGACCAGCAGAGUGUAUAUAUGUGCCUUAGGGCCCUAGGUUUGGGCUUGCCUUUUUGGUUGGGAAUUGGGUCGUGCGAGAACCCAUUUAUUAUUGGGCUUUGGUGGGCCGAAAGGGCUUAGGGUAUUAAUGGGCUGUUAGGUGGUCUAUCUUUAGAUCCAAUGAGUGAGAGGUUGGACUUGGCUCCAAAUUGAGAUUUAUUAUGGGUUUGGCACAGAGUUAGAGUCUGGUACGUAGCAGCAGUGAUUAAAGGAGUUGUUCUUCACCGGAGGUGAGUCUUCUCACUAUACUUUACCUUUAAAGGUAAUUAGAGUUAUGUGAUAGAGCAUUUUGUAUGUUACUUAGAUGAUGUGAAACACUGCAUUAUUUCUAUGUGAUUUAUGUUGUGUAUGUUCCAGAGUUUACAAAGUUGGAACCGGAAGGUUCACAGAGUUAGGACCAGAGGGUCCACAGGGUUAGGACCAGAGGGUCCACAGAGUUAUAGCCUCGAGUGGCUAAUAUGUGUUAUAUGAGGUAUUUAUGGGAACUCACAAAGCUUCGUGCCUAUUGUGUUAUGUGUUUCAGGUUUUCUUAUUUGGAUCAUAGGACGGCACCGACUAGAUUGUACACACCAGAGAAAGAUUUAAGAGGACCCUAGAUUAUCAUUUUAUUAAACAUGGAGCUAUGUUUUGUGAUUUAAUAAUGAUGUCUUGUGAAAUAUGUACUGAGAAUUAUAAUUUUUCAAAAGAAGGUUUUUUUUUUUGAAAUUGACGGUCUUACAAGUUGGUAUCAGAUCCUUGCUUUGAUGUAUUCGGAUGCACCUUUGGGUAUAUCUGGACUCUAAAUACCCUUACCUUAUGUUUUAUGAGAUAUUAUGAGAUAUUAUGCAUGCUAGAGAUAGGCACGGUAUUUCAUAUAUUAGGACUAGAGUGGCCCGAUUUGUUAUGCCUUUGCCUAGGAGUUGUUGUAAUCUGUGAUUCGCUUUCGAGUAUGUGUUGAGUAAGAGUAUCCAGUGGGAAUCCUUGUAGAGAGAGAUUUGAGUAUAGGAUUAAUCUAGGAGAGAUACCAAGAUGAGCAUUGGUGGAACCUACCGAGAGAGUAGCUAGAUACCGCGGGAGGUAGAGUUGGAGAGUUCAGUGAUAUCUUUUGAGUAUGAGUAGAGCUAGUGGAGUUAUCAGCUAGAGCGGGUUAUAUUUGGUUAUUCGACGCCCGAAUGAUGCUUGCUUCGUGCUUUGUGGAACUCCCGAUGAUGGGAGUCAGCUACAAAGUGAAUGUGAUGAUAUUCAGGAGGUUGAUGAUCGGCAUCAUAAGGACUUUCUCAACAGUUGAUGGUGGAGAAAUGUGAGAACCUUGGAAGAGCCUUAGUAAGGUUAGUACGCUUGCAGAGUAGAGCAUUCCGCUGGGGAUCGAGCACGUGUGUUGAGAUUGGUGAAGAGGAGGGUGAACGGCUACUUAGGGAAUCUGGAGUGGUCUGUGUAGAAAGUAUGGGUAGAUGUGGCAGGUAGUAUGGGCCCGUACUACUGAAAGGAGAGGACCCAUACUAGAUGCAGGGAGUAUCCCAGAGGUUCUAACUAGAAGAUCGAGAAGUGAUGCCAUGGUUCGAGUACCAUGAUUGGUGGCAGAUCAAGAGGUGGUGCCAUGGUACGAGUACCAUGAUUGGAAGCAAAUCGAGAGGUGGUGCCAUGGUUCGAGUACCAUGAUUGGUGGCAGAUUGAGAGGAUAUAUCGUGGUUCGAGUACGAUGAUAUGUGACGGUUAGUGCUUUUAAUUUUUACCGAUUAUUCCGCAGUGAUUAUCUAAACCAAGGUCGGAUGUGAAAGAGUACGGGCCCUGAAUGCCAGGAUGAACGGCCAGGAUGAACGAGUUUUAGUGGAGCAUCCCUUGAUAGGGAAAUUGAGUUAGCUCCGAGGGAUUGCUGGUGAUAUGCCAAAAGAGUCGCAAGACUCAGAAUUGAGCAGGGACGGUGUGUUAUGGAAGUGUACGGUCUGAGCUGGUCAGUCGGCCGAUAGUAGAGACGUCACCUUUGUGACCUGAGUAGUGCUAUCUUCGUUCCUAAGGGUUAUGUAUGAGGUGUUGAGAUUUCGGUUUCUGACUUGGCAGUAAGCCUUAUGGGAUCGCACCGGUGGUGAUCUUCAAUCAGAGUAUCUGGCAGUAGGGACUGAGACGGUCAAGGACCAAGAUACACCCUAUUGGAGUAUAGUAGCGCAUGUGAUAGCUGCAGCGUUGGACGAUCAAUAGGAGUAUAUCAGGGUGGUGACGGUUGAGAUAAUGCAAUGGACCUUGGAGGUUCAACGGAUGGGUCGAUUUCAGACCUGGUGCUCAGUAUUAAAAAGUGGUAUGUGAAAUGGAGCUAAGGCUUAUGGUUAUUUUUGUGUCUGAGGACACUUCUGAGAGAGCACAAUUAUUCUCUUGUGUCUAAGGACAGAGUGUUGAGAAUUCACGAUUUGGAUGGGUUAGUAUAGCAAUUCAGCGAAUGAGCCCUAGUGGGAUGUGAACCCUUCCGUUCUUUGGGGCGUGAUCCAUAGUGUUUGCUGCAUUGGUAUGAGUAACCGAUAGCUGAUUGUUGAAUUUUUUUAUAAAGACAGAGGAGCAAUGAGUUAUCAGAGUUUGAGGUUCAAGGGGCGACUAUCAUGGUGCUAACAUGAGUGGACGGUUUGGCGGCGGGCCAAGCGAGUGGAGUUACCGAUUUUGGGAAGAUCAAAAAGGGGGUAUCUUAGCGGCGGAGGGUUUGGUUUUGGAUCUGGAUUUGGCAGUUCCUGUUUGGACUCAGGUAUCCAUGGAAAGACAGUGGUUGGAUAUGAGGUCAUUUUUAUUGGUGCCUAUUGGGUUUGGUUUCAAUCUAAGUUUUGAUAAGAAGCAAUUUCGAGGGCGAAAUCUGAUUAAGUGGCGGAGAAUUGUAACAUCCUGAUUCAGAUGGUCCAUGAUUAGGGAUCCUGGGCCACAAUCCAGGCAUGAGAAAGUCUCGGCUUGUGGCGAGUUUCUGGAAUCGUAAAGCAUCUCAUCACCUUUCCGUAGGUAUGAGGAUCGUUGGAAUCGGAGUUAUAUCAAAGAAGCUAUGGAAGUUUCAAGAUUUGGCAAGAUGAGUCCCUAAAGUGGAGAAGUGUGGCAACGAAGUACGUUGGGCGUACGUAUGCGUACGCUUAGCGUACAGAUGUGUGUGUUUCUUAAGCAAGAGCCACCUAGUACGUUAGGCAUACAACGGGGGUACGUUGGGCGUACUAGGGAUAGAAGGAAACUCUAAUUAAGUGAAGUGUCCGUAUAAAAAGAAAGAGAUGGUCUCAUUUGUGGCCACCUUCCUCAGUUAUUAAACCCUCUCAAACCCUAAUAUCCUUUCUUGAAGCUUGUGGUGGCCAUGAUGAGCUUGUUUGUGUUCUUGUGGACUUUUAAGUGUUAAGAAGGAGCAUGGAAAGGAGUGAUGUUGAAGAGCAGGCUGUGGAUCUGAGCUUUCUUGGGGCUAGAGCACCAUUUGAAGGUAUAAAGCUGCAAGCUUUCCCUCUCUUUUUGUUUAGUGCAUAUUAGUAUCCAUUUUAGGGUUUUUGGUCCCAAGCUUGAGGCUUUAUGAGUUGAUUCACUCCAGAGCUUAAUAACCUGCCCUUUUAGGUGUUUCUAGUGGUGGAG